UUUCUCAUCAUCUUUUUUAGUCCUUUUCCAAUGAUUCUAUAUUUUAUUAUUUGCAACACAAGAUUGUAACAACAUGGCAGUCUAGCUCACUUAAAGUACCUGAAAAUCCAGGUUUGCUAAAAUGAUAUAGUGUUCCUUCUCAUGGGCACAGUACGGUAUUCAAGAAUCAUUUUCGAAGUUUUCUGAUGCACAGGAUCCCCUUAUAGAAGCAAGUGCAAAGCAUACUUACUCUGAAUAAGCCACAUUUUCGGAGCUUUCUAAUGCACAGGAUCCCCUUGUAGAGGUAAGUGCAGAGCAUACUCACUUUGAAAUAAGCCACUUCCUUGCCUUCCCUAAUUUACUAAAACCAAGACAUAAUAAAGAAAAGGAUUUUCGAGAGAGAAGUAGAAGGAUUUAGAAACUCAUAGUUCUUGAAGAAACUCAAAGGAUUUUUA
This 434-nucleotide long non-coding RNA is filed under the name Vigna radiata. RNAcentral's name for it is "long non-coding RNA (VRAD_LNC004305)". Lineage: Eukaryota; Viridiplantae; Streptophyta; Magnoliopsida; Fabales; Fabaceae. The record is from RNAcentral.